This 253-nucleotide ribosomal RNA is filed under the name uncultured bacterium. Its description in RNAcentral is "partial 16S ribosomal RNA". It matches the Rfam family "Bacterial small subunit ribosomal RNA", at positions 524 to 776 of the family's 1533-position model. The record is from RNAcentral.
UACAGAGGGUGCGAGCGUUGUUCGGAAUUAUUGGGCGUAAAGGGCGCGUAGGCGGUGCCACAAGUCACCUGUGAAAUCCCCGGGCUUAACUCGGGGCCUGCAGGCGAAACUGUGGUGCUGGAGUAUGGGAGAGGUGCGUGGAAUUCCCGGUGUAGCGGUGAAAUGCGUAGAUAUCGGAAGGAACGCCGGUGGCGAAAGCGACGUGCUGGACCCCUUCUGACGCUGAGGCGCGAAAGCCAGGGGAGCGAACGGG